Molecule: RNA transcript, 1794 nt
Organism: Phragmites australis (common reed)
Lineage: Eukaryota; Viridiplantae; Streptophyta; Magnoliopsida; Poales; Poaceae
Exons: 5
Source: RefSeq, a predicted model, not a curated record
AAAUAGGGAAACGAAAAAGAAAAGGCGGACUCGCCGACCACUCCGCCACCAACGCCGCGGCGGCGGCGGCGGCCGAUCAUUCUCGCCUACCGACGGUCACCCCUUCGCCGCCGCCGCCCUCCUCUCCGCUCCCCUCGCAUCGACGCUGCUCCUCUAGCGAGUUCCUCUCGUCAGCCCGAGAGCGCGCGCCGAAGGUUUCGCUUCGCCACCGUGGAUAUGGCGCCCAUCGCCCCGUCUUCUCCCGUCCCCGGCAAAGGCGACAAUGGCUGCUCGUCGAAGCCGACGCUGGCGAGGCCGUCGCGCCGCGGACCGCCGACCGACAGCGCUGGCACGCGCGUGGACUCGUCUGCACAGGCGCUGCCUCCUCCAUCCUCUCUGCUGUGUCUUCUUCCCGGUCUCUCAGUCAUGAGGAUGCGGCCUCUGCUCCCACCCGGUGCUGCGCCCUUUGCUACGAAUGACAUCCAGCCAGGUGCUGCCAAUGCUCGGUGCCCUACUGAUCCCUCUGCUGCCAAUGACUGCCAACCAGGUGCUGCCAAUCCUUGGCGCCCUGCUGUUCUCGUGGAGCUUUUCGCCCUUGUGUCCUUCAGAGGGAGGGCUCCACAGGUCUGUGAGGAGAGGAACCCAGCUCCACCUCUGCCAACCCCUUCCACGGCAUUGAACGGCCUGCGGCAGCAAUUUCUUCUUGCGAUCCCUCUUAUGGCUGCAAUGCACAAGAUUUGUCAUGUUUGGAGCCUUUUGGGAUGUUGGGCGGCAUUUUCUUAUGUCAAAACUGCCAGCGAUCGUGGUGCCAGCAUAUUUAGGAUUUUAAGUAAUAGAAUUGCAGUGGGAGGCGUCACCGCGAGGCUAUGCAGCUAUAUUGUUUGCUGGUUUGGAUUUGAGGGGUGUCCAUUCUCUGUUUUGCUGACUUCGUUGAUCUUGUUAGCAUUUUCUUUAGGCAUACAUGUUCAGCUCUAACAAGUGCGACAGAUAUUCUUAACAAAGCCAAUGAGUUUCUACCGAUCAAUGCUACUCAGCCUCAUAUCCCACAGGAGAGUGCCCCUUCUACUAAUGAAAGCAACGAGGCCACAUCUCAAGAGACAAUGGGCAUUAUUGUAGACAAUACGGAAAGCCAUGAUGGUCAGCCUGCUCUCGAGCAGAAAACAGUCAGAUCCAUUAGUGAAGGCAAUGAGGUCAUAUCGCGAUGGAAAGAAGAGAAUUCUCAAUUUUCCGUGGAUGUGCCUCCAGACAUGUCUCCACAAACAGCCAAAACUCUCAAGCAGAACUUCAAAAAGGAGGGUGCUAGUCAUCUGAUUCAAGGAACUACCAUCAACUCAAUACUGGAGAAAGCUUUAGUUUCUGCAAAAUCUGAGUUCGAUAUAGUUGUCAAAGAAGUUGAAGAUCUUCAGCACUUUUACAUCCUUCAUCCUCAUCAGAUGGCAACACGGAUCAGUAGAUCGCCGCUGGGACUCUUUCAGUGUACUGACCACACAGAAAUGGUAAAGACCAAUGAUGAGAUACUUGGAAGACGAAGAAGAUUGGUGCAGAAAGAGGAAGUAGAACUGUGAACUAUUCAGUGCUGACAAUAUAUCCUCGUCAAACUAACAAACUAACUGUCUAGUGGAAGAAGAAGAUUGCUGCAGAAAUGAGAAUAUCAUGCUCCUGGCAAACUGUGUAUACAUCUUGCUCAGUAACAUCACAUACCAUGCUGCUGCUGACAGUAUAUUGCUAUGAAUUGUGAGAUACUCCUCACUGAAAACUAGUUAGAGCAUCAACGUAUCUUGCAGCUGACAUUUUGUCCGCGUCAUAGCAAGCUAA